CCUACGGGAGGCAGCAGUAAGGAAUAUUGGUCAAUGGACGAAAGUCUGAACCAGCCAUGCCGCGUGAAGGAUGACGGCCCUCUGGGUUGUAAACUUCUUUUAUCUGGGACGAAAAAAGGGAAUUCUUUCUCACUUGACGGUACCAGAGGAAUAAGCACCGGCUAACUCCGUGCCAGCAGCCGCGGUAAUACGGAGGGUGCAAGCGUUAUCCGGAUUCACUGGGUUUAAAGGGAGCGUAGGUGGGCAGGUAAGUCAGUGGUGAAAUCUCCGGGCUUAACCCGGAAACUGCCAUUGAUACUAUUUGUCUUGAAUUAUCUGGAGGUAAGCGGAAUAUGUCAUGUAGCGGUGAAAUGCUUAGAUAUGACAUAGAACACCCAUUGCGAAGGCAGCUUACUACGGAUAUAUUGACACUGAGGCUCGAAAGCGUGGGGAUCAAACAGGAUUAGAUACCCUGGUAGUCCACGCCCUAAACGAUGGAUACUCGACAUCAGCGAUACACUGUUGGUGUCUGAGCGAAAGCAUUAAGUAUCCACCUGGAAGUACGACCGCAAGGUUGAAACUCAAAGAGUAGUGCGNGACGUGACCAGGCCAGACGACGGAGAGGGA
RNAcentral lists this ribosomal RNA (606 nucleotides) under uncultured bacterium. RNAcentral describes it as "bacterial SSU rRNA". It matches the Rfam family "Bacterial small subunit ribosomal RNA", at positions 338 to 942 of the family's 1533-position model. The record is from RNAcentral.